UACGAAGGGGGCUAGCGUUGCUCGGAAUCACUGGGCGUAAAGGGUGCGUAGGCGGGUCUUUAAGUCAGGGGUGAAAUCCUGGAGCUCAACUCCAGAACUGCCUUUGAUACUGAAGAUCUUGAGUUCGGGAGAGGUGAGUGGAACUGCGAGUGUAGAGGUGAAAUUCGUAGAUAUUCGCAAGAACACCAGUGGCGAAGGCGGCUCACUGGCCCGAUACUGACGCUGAGGCGCGAAAGCGUGGGGAGCGAACGAGG
This 254-nucleotide ribosomal RNA is filed under the name uncultured bacterium. RNAcentral's name for it is "partial 16S ribosomal RNA". It matches the Rfam family "Bacterial small subunit ribosomal RNA", at positions 524 to 777 of the family's 1533-position model. The record is from RNAcentral.